GGUUUGAUUCUGGCUCAGAUUGAACGCUGGCGGGAUGCUUUGCUGAUCGAACGGCAGCACGGACUUCACCGGUCUGGUGGCGAGUGGCGAACGGGUGAGUAAUGUAUCCCGGAACGUGCCUAGUAGCGGGGAUAACUACGCGGCAUGGCGCUGGUACUGCCGCCCUUCCCGAGAGAAAGCGGGGGACCUUCGGGCCUCGCACUAUUGAACGGCCGAUAUCGGAUUAGCUAGUCGGUGAGGUAACGGCUCACCAAGGCGACGAUCCGUAGCUGGUUUGAGAGGACGACCAGCCACACUGGGACUGGGCAGGCUUCGAACCUCCACAGGGAGGGCAGCAGUGAGAAUUUUGGACAAUGGGGAAACCUGAUCCAGCCAUCCCGCGUGUGCGAUGAAGGCCUGGGUUGUGGCUUCUUUGGCAGGAAAGAAACGGCACGGGAUAAUACCCCAUGCAACUAAUGGUACCUGCAGAAUGACACCAGCAACUACAUUGCCAGCAGCGAUAAUGCAUGGAACACCAAGCGUUAAUCAGAUUACUGGGCUAAAGCGUGCAGGCGGUUCGGAAGAAGAUGUGAAAUCCCCAGAGCUUUAACUUGGAGCUGCAUUUUAACUACCGAGCUAGAGUGUGUCAGAGGAGGUGGAAUUCCGCGUGUAGCAGUGAAAUGCGUAGAUGAAAUGCGAACACCGAUGGCGAAGGCAGCCUCCUGGGAUAACACUGACGCUCAUGCACCGAAAGCGUGGGAGCAAACGGGAUUGAAUGCCCUGGUGGUCUGCGCCUAAACGAUGUGCUCAACUAGCUGUUGGGGCCUUCGGCCUUGGUAGCGCAGCUAACGCUGCGUGAAGUUGACCGCCUGGGAAGUACGGUGCGCAGAUUAAACUCGGAAUUGACGGGGACCCGCACAAACGGUGGAUGAUGUGGAUUAAUUCGAUGCAACGCGAAAAACCUUACCUACCCUUGACAUGUCUGGAAUCCAGAGAGAUUUUGGGGUAUGUCGCAAGAGAACCGGAACACGGGUGCUGCAUAGCUCGACAGCUCAUUGUCGUGAGAUGUUGGGUUAAGUCCGCAACGAGCGCAGCCCUUGUCAUUAGUUGCUACGAAAGGGCGCUCUAAUGGGACUGCCGGUGAUGACGGAGGAGACAGGAUGACGUCAGAAUCCUCGUGGCCCUUAUGGGUAGGCUGCACGUCAUACAAUGGUCAGGACAGGGGUCCGCUUCAACCCGCGAGGGAACCGUCCCAGAAACUGAUCGUGAAUCCCACGGAUCAGUCUGCAACUCGACUGCGUGAAGUCGGAAUCAUGGCUAAUCGCGGAUCAGCAUGUCGCGGUGAAUACGUUCCCGGGUCUUGUACACACCGCCCGUCACACCAUGGGAGUGGGUUUUACCAAGUAGUUAGCCUAACCGGCGGAGGCGAUUACACCGGUAAGUUUAUGGCGGGGUGCCAAGUCGUAACAAAGGUAG
This 1455-nucleotide ribosomal RNA is filed under the name uncultured Bordetella sp. Its description in RNAcentral is "partial 16S-23S ribosomal RNA intergenic spacer". It matches the Rfam family "Bacterial small subunit ribosomal RNA". Lineage: Bacteria; Pseudomonadati; Pseudomonadota; Betaproteobacteria; Burkholderiales; Alcaligenaceae. The record is from RNAcentral.